GACGAACGCUGGCGGCGUGCUUAACACAUGCAAGUCGAACGGAAAGGCCCUGCUUUUGUGGGGUGCUCGAGUGGCGAACGGGUGAGUAACACGUGAGUAACCUGCCCUUGACUUUGGGAUAACUUCAGGAAACUGGGGCUAAUACCGGAUAGGAGCUCCUGCUGCAUGGUGGGGGUUGGAGAGUUUCGGCGGUUGGGGAUGGACUCGCGGCUUAUCAGCUUGUUGGUGGGGUAGUGGCUUACCAAGGCUUUGACGGGUAGCCGGCCUGAGAGGGUGACCGGCCACAUUGGGACUGAGAUACGGCCCAGACUCCUACGGGAGGCAGCAGUGGGGAAUAUUGCACAAUGGGCGGAAGCCUGAUGCAGCAACGCCGCGUGCGGGAUGACGGCCUUCGGGUUGUAAACCGCUUUCGCCUGUGACGAAGCGUGAGUGACGGUAAUGGGUAAAGAAGCACCGGCUAACUACGUGCCAGCAGCCGCGGUGAUACGUAGGGUGCGAGCGUUGUCCGGAUUUAUUGGGCGUAAAGGGCUCGUAGGUGGUUGAUCGCGUCGGAAGUGUAAUCUUGGGGCUUAACCCUGAGCGUGCUUUCGAUACGGGUUGACUUGAGGAAGGUAGGGGAGAAUGGAAUUCCUGGUGGAGCGGUGGAAUGCGCAGAUAUCAGGAGGAACACCAGUGGCGAAGGCGGUUCUCUGGGCCUUUCCUGACGCUGAGGAGCGAAAGCGUGGGGAGCGAACAGGCUUAGAUACCCUGGUAGUCCACGCUGUAAACGGUGGGUACUAGGUGUGGGGUCCAUUCCACGGGUUCCGUGCCGUAGCUAACGCUUUAAGUACCCCGCCUGGGGAGUACGGCCGCAAGGCUAAAACUCAAAGGAAUUGACGGGGCCCCGCACAAGCGGCGGAGCAUGCGGAUUAAUUCGAUGCAACGCGUAGAACCUUACCUGGGUUUGACAUGGAUCGGGAGUGCUCAGAGAUGGGUGUGCCUCUUUUGGGGUCGGUUCACAGGUGGUGCAUGCCUGUCGUCAGCUCGUGUCGUGAGAUGUUGGGUUAAGUCCCGCAACGAGCGCAACCCUUGUUCACUGUUGCCAGCACGUUAUGGUGGGGACUCAGUGGAGACCGCCGGGGUCAACUCGGAGGAAGGUGGGGAUGACGUCAAGUCAUCAUGCCCCUUAUGUCCAGGGCUUCACGCAUGCUACAAUGGCUGGUACAGAGAGUGGCGAGCCUGUGAGGGUGAGCGAAUCUCGGAAAGCCGGUCUCAGUUCGGAUUGGGGUCUGCAACUCGACCUCAUGAAGUCGGAGUCGCUAGUAAUCGCAGAUCAGCAACGCUGCGGUGAAUACGUUCCCGGGGCC
This 1346-nucleotide ribosomal RNA is filed under the name uncultured bacterium. RNAcentral's name for it is "partial 16S ribosomal RNA". It matches the Rfam family "Bacterial small subunit ribosomal RNA", at positions 28 to 1381 of the family's 1533-position model. The record is from RNAcentral.